Pan troglodytes (chimpanzee) is the source of this 100-nucleotide small nuclear RNA. Lineage: Eukaryota; Metazoa; Chordata; Mammalia; Primates; Hominidae. The record is from Ensembl.
GUGCUUGCUUCAGUAGCACAUAUACUGAAAUUGAAAUGAUACAGAGAUUAGCACAGCCGGGCAAGGAUGACAUGCAAAUUCAUGAGUACUCCAUAUUUUU